Long non-coding RNA from Maylandia zebra (zebra mbuna), 242 nucleotides. RefSeq lists it as uncharacterized. The record is from RefSeq and is a predicted model, not a curated record. NCBI's taxonomy places the organism in Eukaryota, Metazoa, Chordata, Actinopteri, Cichliformes, Cichlidae.
GAGAGGAGUCAUCAUCCAGGUAAAGUGACGUGGAUCAGUGGAUACACUUGUCUCCCCUUUAAAGGAGACGAUCCAAGUCAUCCUUAAAUAUGGGCAGCAUAUCAGUCUUGGACUGUCUAACCUGCAGCACUGAAUGACCACCACACAUGAGCAUGUUCCUGCAACAUUCAGCAUCUGAUCCUUCAUCUGUGUGCUUCUGCUUUUGUGUCACAUGUCAAACAGCUGGAGAGGAAACUACACCA